UUCAUUUGUAUUCAAACUUCUUUUUGCAGUAAACUAAACAACUGUACUAAGUAAUGCUAAGCCAAAAUCUUAAAAGGUCUGUUGGGGAGCUCAAGUGGUCCUUCCGCGAAACAUGCACAACGAAAAUAGAGAGGGAAGCUGUCGACACCCGUCCAACAGCAGACCAGUACGAACAUUAGGGGUUGAUGAAGAAACCAAACAGACCGUCUCUGCUGAAUCGGAGUGAAGAACAACAGGCGAGGUGCAUUGCAAAUGUAACAUAUAUGUAUUACCAACAUAAUUUUGAAACAGUGCUAAAAAUGAAAAGAGGGUCGGCAAUGGGAAAACUUUACUCAAUUAAUUUUGUUACUAUGUGAUAAUUAAGAAAUGAAAUAACAACGUAACUUAAAGGUAAAAAUUAUAAAAAAAAAAAAAAAAAGAGAUUGAGCCGUCCAGCCAAUAUCACUCCCCACCAUUACCCUUGUCGAUCCCUCACCCUUCAAAACCCAUAAUCAACCACAACUUCUUCUUCUUUUUCUUCUUCUGAAAUCAAAGUCCACAGCCAUGUUCUUCCACAAGCUCAUCAACACCAUCCAGUCUCCCAUGAUUACAACAGUCUGCAAAGAUAAAAUAAGUGAGGAAAGUCAUGGAUUCAAAUUCCUAAAAGUGAUUAGGAAGAGGAGGGGUAGGCGGAUUAAGUUAAUGAAUAAUAUAGAAACUAUUCUGAACAUGGUGUAACGGUUCAUAACAUGGUGUCAAAGUCUUCAAAGAACUUAGUGGUCUUCGUUUUGAAUCCUGGUAGCCCCCAAUCCGUGUGUACAUGACUUACCAAAACUGUGCAAACCUCAUUUCUCACGAGAGCUUCUUUUACACGCCCCACAACUCGAGAAUUAUCGAGAUGUAACGGUUCAUUUAGUUUACUCAAAAAAUCACAUAAAUUUGAGAAGAUGGAAAAAUGGCAAGUGAAUGACUAAUGUUUUGGUAUAGUUAAUUUAGUUCACCUAACAAUUGCUUCUCUGUAGAGGGUUGUUUGUUUUUUAUAUUGUCGUGUAGCCAUAAUGAAAGUGAAGGAAAGGUUGUGAAGCAAAGCAAAGCAAUGAAUACUGGAACUAGACAGUUUGAGAGAGUGGAAAAGAUUGAAGGAAAUGAAAGGACAGUUUCCAGACUUGGCCAUUUGUCCUAUCUCAUCCCAUUUCCACGAUGCAUUAUUGUGUCACUAGCUAUCUCAAUCACUUAAUAAAUUUCAUGAAUAGUUCAUUAUAUUAUUUUCGUCCAAGUAAAAUACUAAUCUAUGAUGUAGAAAGAAACAGUAGAGCUAUGGCACUAUUGAGUCACUGAUUGAGUCAAACUAAGCCGUAAAGUUUGUCGAGACAGCCACCAAAAACGAACACACAAUACUCCUCAUACCCCUCACUACAAUAAUUCACAUGGCUAACUGUGGUUUUUUUCUAAUUUAACAGCGGAUAAACCGCUGGAUCAUAUUCUGAAGUUAGGUUACAAGAAUUCACAUAGCUAACAAUGAAUCCCUUAACGUUGAAAAUCCGAGGUUACAUGUAUGAGAAUUGAUUUGUGCAGUUAGGUUUCUGAAUUCUUGCAGUGCCUCCCCCCUAACAUUCAGUUAUAUAUCAAAUCUUUAGGUCCAGUUGCUCUUUGCACAGCAGAUAUCCAACUACACUUUAAAUCACAGUACAAUUUGUAGAUCUGCUACUAUUUCACAAACAUUCAAUUUUUCACUCUAGCUGAGGGGUAAAAAAUAGUACCCCGGGUUUCAUGGAGAAACUGUUAGUCUGUAAAUGUUUCUGCCCUGUGCGUUUCUCUGCUAAAAAUAUCAAUGAAAGCUUUCUUUCUAUCUAUUUAUUGUGCCAAACCAAACACACUUCAAUUUUAGGGCAAUCCAAAACCUGGGUUCAAUUGGGUUUUCAUCAAAGUUGAAAACUUUUGUCAGUUUUCCAAAUCUAAUAUCAUAAACAAUUGAUUUUGGAUCAUUACUAGCAAUAAAGUCUUCACAUUUCUAAGUUUAUAUUGUCUAAGAAACUCCAUUUGAAAUAUGUUAAUGUACCUCUGUUAGAGAUGAGCAAAUGUGUCAGAAUACCCCUCCAAAAUUUUCGAUAACAUAAAUUUGAUGAUGGAAAAAGUGACAACACUACCCUUCUCCCAGAAGUAGGACAGAGAUUUCAGAUUUUGCAUGCAUAUGAUAUAAGCAACAACAUAGGAAUCCGGGAUGGUCGGGAUCGAUUGUAAGACUGUUCGUUUGGACACGUGUACGGUGAUAAGGGUAGGUUUGAAAAUCUAAGAGGGUAGAAAAAAAGACUAAAGAACAGCAAGAGACAGAAUGUCUGAGGAAAAAGUCAGGUUCUUUGUUCAGAAGAAAUUGGACCCAAUUUUCCUCUUUCUUGAAAGGAAAAAGAGAAAAGGAGAAGUGAAGUGGUACCUCAAGGAGGAAAGUUGGCCAGCUCUUAAACCAAGAUGACAACACAAAGAGAUGAUCAAUGAUGGUGAGCCUUUGAUGAUCAAACGGCUCUCAUUAAUUAGCACUGUUCUGACAAAAUUCAAAGUGGGGAAGAAACAAGGAUUAGCAAUAAAUAACAACAAUGUUUGAACAAAACCAAUAUUAUGUUACAAUUUGUCAAAGUGAUGCCAGUCUCUACAGUUCCAUCUGUUGUAAGAUUUCUGGAGAAUAACUAUACUAACAAGAACCCAAAUGGAAUUAGCUAUUAAGGACCAAAACCCAGAACCCAGAUCUCAGAAUGCCUUGUGAACGUUGAGGUUUUGAAGGAAUGGGAAUGAGAAGAGGAGGGAAGAAAAUUGUGGAGAUUACUUACUAGCUUGCUUGCACGGUACAGUAUAAAUUGGUGGAAAUGGUGGAGGUAGAACAGUAUUCCCUCUGUCUUGUUGCAGACUGAAUUCUUGAAACCUUCAAACUUUGAGCUACUUUGAGAAACUUGGAGACAGAGAAGUGGAUGAAGAAGAGCUGAGAAGAGCAUUUGAAACAGAGAAAUGGAGAGUGAAUGAGAGAGAAAGAUGUGGGGGGUAUGUUUUAUGCUAUGGUCUUAAAGUAAGAACAGAGGACUAUAUAAUAAUAAUAAAACAUAGAUAAUGUUUG
RNAcentral lists this long non-coding RNA (3082 nucleotides) under Linum usitatissimum (flax). Its description in RNAcentral is "long non-coding RNA (LUSI_LNC004131)". The record is from RNAcentral. Lineage: Eukaryota; Viridiplantae; Streptophyta; Magnoliopsida; Malpighiales; Linaceae.